GACGAACGCUGGCGGCGUGCUUAACACAUGCAAGUCGAACGAGACGAUUGAAAGCUUGCUUUCGAAAGUCGAGUGGCAAACGGGUGAGUAACGCGUAGACAACCUGCCUUUGAGAUGGGGACAACAGUUCGAAAGGACUGCUAAUACCGAAUGUUGUAUAUUUUCCACAUGGAAGAUAUAUUAAAGAUGGCCUCUAUUUAUAAGCUAUCGCUCAAAGAUGGGUCUGCGUCUGAUUAGCUAGUUGGUGGGGUAACGGCCUACCAAGGCGACGAUCAGUAGCCGGUCUGAGAGGAGGAACGGCCACAUUGGGACUGGGACACGGCCCAGACUCCUACGGGAGGCAGCAGUGGGGAAUCUUCCACAAUGGACGAAAGUCUGAUGGAGCAACGCCGCGUGAGUGAAGAAGGGUUUCGGCUCGUAAAGCUCUGUUGUCGGGGACGAAUGUGCAUUACUUGAAUAAAGUAGUGUAAUGACGGUACCUGACGAGGAAGCCACGGCUAACUACGUGCCAGCCGCCGCGGUAA
RNAcentral lists this ribosomal RNA (524 nucleotides) under uncultured bacterium. Its description in RNAcentral is "partial 16S ribosomal RNA". It matches the Rfam family "Bacterial small subunit ribosomal RNA", at positions 28 to 523 of the family's 1533-position model. The record is from RNAcentral.